This 277-nucleotide ribosomal RNA is filed under the name uncultured bacterium. Its description in RNAcentral is "partial 16S ribosomal RNA". It matches the Rfam family "Bacterial small subunit ribosomal RNA", at positions 506 to 784 of the family's 1533-position model. The record is from RNAcentral.
UGCCAGCCGCCGCGGUAACACGGGGGGCGCAAGCGUUAUUCGGAAUUAUUGGGCGUAAAGGGCGCGCAGGCGGUCUUGUCCGUCAGGUGUGAAAGCUCGGGGCUCAACCCCGGAAGUGCACUUGAAACAGCAAGACUUGAAUACGGUAGAGGAGAGAGGAAUUCCUGGUGUAGAGGUGAAAUUCGUAGAUAUCAGGAGGAACACCGAUGGCGAAGGCAUCUCUGGCCAAAGACUGACGCUCAUGUGCGAAAGUGUGGGUAGCGAACAGGAUUAGAUA